GCGAAGAUGAAUUCAAUGGUGGCUUUGGGGAAGAAAUUCACGAGAAAUAUUCAAGAUAACAAACGCAGAUUGUUGUCUGCUAAGUAUGAAUUGAGGCGAAAGUUGUAUAAAGCUUUUGUUCAAGAUCCUCAACUUCCUCCUGAAAUGCGAGAAGCUCAUCAGUACAAGCUUGCCAAGUUGCCCAGAAACAGUUCCUUUACGCGAAUCAGAAAUCGGUGCAUUUUUACUGGUCGACCUCGUGCCGUUUAUGAAAAGUUUCGAAUGUCUCGUAUUGUUUUUCGUGGUUUGGCUGCUCGUGGUGCUUUGCAAGGUGUAAAGAAAGCUUCUUGGUAGACAAUACAAUACCCAGGAUUUCUUCUUUUCAAGAUUUAGGAGUAUUACUACUGGAUAUCAUAUACUAAAGCCUCUAGUAGAUUACAGUGGGACAAGGUUUUCAAUUUCAG
RNAcentral lists this unclassified non-coding RNA (443 nucleotides) under Hevea brasiliensis (rubber tree). The record is from RNAcentral. Lineage: Eukaryota; Viridiplantae; Streptophyta; Magnoliopsida; Malpighiales; Euphorbiaceae.